This 454-nucleotide ribosomal RNA is filed under the name uncultured bacterium. RNAcentral describes it as "bacterial SSU rRNA". It matches the Rfam family "Bacterial small subunit ribosomal RNA", at positions 340 to 786 of the family's 1533-position model. The record is from RNAcentral.
UACGGAAGGCAGCAGUGGGGAAUAUUGCACAAUGGGCGCAAGCCUGAUGCAGCCAUGCCGCGUGUAUGAAAAAGGCCUUCGGGUUGUAAAGUACUUUCAGUCGUGAGGAAGGUGUUAAGGUUAAUAACCUUAGCAAUUGACGUUAGCGACAGAAGAAGCACCGGCUAACUCCGUGCCAGCAGCCGCGGUAAUACGGAGGGUGCGAGCGUUAAUCGGAAUUACUGGGCGUAAAGGGCACGCAGGCGGUUAAUUAAGUUAGAUGUGAAAUCCCCGGGCUUAACCUGGGAAUGGCAUUCAAGACUGGUUAGCUAGAGUCUUGUAGAGGGGGUAGAAUUCCAUGUGUAGCGGUGAAAUGCGUAGAGAUGUGGAGGAAUACCGGUGGCGAAGGCGGCCCCUGGACAAAGACUGACGCUCAUGUGCGAAAGCGUGGGGAGCAAACAGGGAUUUAGAUACC